GUAGCUUCCGAGUGUAAACAAUGGCGAAUCUUCCGAUGGAUACCGUCGCCGAUAUAUUCCUCCGUCUCCCUGCCACUACGCUGGUUCGAUGUCGCGUCCUCUCGAAGCCCUGCUGCUCUCUUAUCGACAGUCCCGACUUCAUCGCCUCGCAUCUCAAACGCACGCUCGAAACAGAAGAUCACAUCAUGAUCCUACUGCGAACCUAUCUCCGUCUACGUACGGUGUACCUCGACGCACCGGAUAAAGUCUCCCUCGUCAAUCAUCCUCUGCGAACCGGUGGUUUCACGGAAGUUUUCGGUUCGGUUAACGGUAUAAUCGGUUUAACCAACUCUCCUACUGAUUUAGCGCUUUUCAAUCCAUCGACUCGCAAAAUCCACCGCCUACCGGUUGAGCCUAUCGAUUUCUUCGAACGUCAGAUCACUCGCGAAUACGUGUUCUACGGAUUAGGUCACGAUUCGGUGAGCGAUGACUACAAAGUCGUGAGGAUGAUUCAGUCUAAAGAUAGAGGAGGUGAUGAAAGCUUUGGCUAUCCUUUCGAAGUCAAAGUGUUCAGCUUAAAGAGUAACAAAUGGAAGAGAAUCGAUCUUCUCUCCGAGGACGUUGAGAUUCUCUUCGACAACUUCUAUUUCCAUCUCCUGUAUCGCCGCGGGAACGGUGUUCUCGCUAGCAACAAUCUUCACUGGAUUUUGAUUCAUAACGAAGGAGAUAUAGGCAUGAACACGAUAAUCAGAUUUGAUCUUGCUACUGAGGAGCUUGGAGUCGUCAAUUUCUCGCAUGAUGUUUAUGUUAAAGGGAUGGAUAUAGGUGUGUUAGGUGGCUGCCUCUGUAUGAUGUGUUAUAACGAGGUUAGACAUGCGGAUGUUUGGAUUAUGAGGGAGUAUGGAGGAGAGUGGAGCAAGUUCGUUUCUGUGCCGCAGCCGGAGAGUGUGGUUUCGUUUGAGUUUGUGAGGCCUUUGGUUUAUUCUAAGGACAGGAGGAAGAUUUUGCUGGAGAUAAACAAUGGGAAGCUCUUUUGGUUUGAUUUGGCGAGUAGGAGUCUUGAAAGGCUUGUGAUAAAGGGUUGUGAGGUUCUUCCAUGUAACGCGGAAAUUGUUGUGAGUAGCCUUGUUUUGGGGUGUAAAGAAAAGAAAAUGGUGCAGAAGGGUAACAAAAGGUUGUAUGCAUAUCUUAAUUUUUUUGAGUUUUUAAAAUUGCUAAUGGUUCGAAUGUAAUAACUUGCUUAAACCAUCUUGUGUUACAAUCUCAGGAGGGAUGAUUUUCUGUCCAAGGGAUUCAAGCUGAAGUUGUGAGCAAAGCAGGGGAACUUCAAAACCCAAAAAUUUAUGAAGGUAAGUGUAAAGAAUCUAAUGGUCGUGACUCGUGACUGUUUCCUUCAAGUUUGUAUUCUUGUUUCUCUUUGUGUGAGAUUUCCAUUCUUAACCUGGAUACGUUAUUGGAAACCUUAGUAAGUGGAACUUGAGUCAACAUCGUAGGGUAACGUUUACGAGUCGCACAAUAUAUGAAUAUGGUGAACAAUUCUUACUAUGUCAAGUGUUAUUGGAGUUUGAACUGUGUAGGUGCUGUCACAAUUAUGAAAGAAUCUUAUUGUUUCAAGUGUUUUAGAGUUCGAACCGUGACAUCGAGUAGGUGCAAAUCUUGACUUUUUGUUUGAUUUUCAGGUGCAAGGCGUAGGUGGAAAGGAAAUGGCUUGAAGCAGCUUCAUCAAAUGCUAAACCCAUAUUAGGUCUUAGUACUAGUUAGCUUAACUAUGUAGUACGUAUAUAUCCUAAGAGAAGACAGUGUGCUUAGGUAACUUCUUUUGAGUAUGGCAUGUUUCAGUAUAACGUAAUUUGGUUUCCGCUUAGACUCGCAUCCUCAUCAAAAAUCUAAAUAGCCAAACGGGAUUUUCAGGACGUUUUCGUUUCGUUAGUUGCAUAUAUCAAAUCUAAGAUCAGAAUGAAAUUUGCAGGAUGAUUCAUGGACGUUAAAAAUUAUUUAUGAAAUAAAGUGGUCUUAUUAAUAUUUUUUGUUUAAUAACAUUUAGACAAGAAUUAAAAGAGGAAAUAAUUGGGUAGGAAGACGACAGUAAGGCCAAACUCAAGAAAAUGUAUCCACACAGCGACUGAAAUGUGCAAACAAUUAAAAAAUUGCCAAUGCUUUUUGUCCAUUAGAUUGUGUUAAGAUGAAUACAUUUUUCGGACUUUUAUUGGGCCGAGCCAACGAGGCCCAUGAAGAAUAAAAUUACACCCUCUUCGAAUCAAAAUAUCCGCGUCCCUAUGUUGUCAAACCCUAGAGCUGCUCACUCACACUGAAACUGAGAGUAGCUUCCCAAAGAAAACAAUGGCGAAUAUGAAUAUGCCGAUGGAUGUCGUUAACGAUCUAUUCCUCCGCCUCCCUGCUACUACGCUCCUCCGAUGUCGCGUCCUCUCGAAGCCUUGCUGCUCUCUCAUCGACAGUCCCGACUUCAUCGCCUCGCAUCUCAAACGCACGCUAGAAACCGCAGAGCACCUCAUGAUCCUGCUACAAUCGCCUCAGCUUCUUCGUACGGUGUACCUCGACGCACCGAAUAAACUCUCCGACGUUGAGCAUCCUCUACAAACCGGCGGUGUCACGGAAGUUUUCGGUUCGGUUAACGGUGUGAUCGGUUUAACGAACUCUCCUCUCGACUUGGCGCUUUUCAAUCCAUCGACUCGCAAAAUCCAUCGCCUACCGAUUGCGUCUAUUGAUUUCCCUGAGCAUUCCAUCAGUCGCGAGAAUGUGUUUUACGGAUUAGGUUACGAUUCCGUGAGCGAUGAUUACAAAGUUGUGAGGAUUAUUCAGUGUAAUGAUGAAGGUGAUGAAGGCGAUGAAAGCUUUGGUUACGCUUUAGAAAUCAAAGUUUUCAGCUUAAAGAGUAAUCAAUGGAAGAGAAUCCGUGUUAACUUUGAGGUUCAGAUUCUCUUCAUCUACUUCUAUUACGAUCUGCUGCAUCGCCGUGGGAAUGGUGUUCUCGCUAGCAACAGUCUUCACUGGAUUUUGCCUCGAACUGGUGGACAUACUGCGUUCAACACGAUUAUCAGAUUUGAUCUUGCUUCUGACAAUCUUGGAGUCCUUAACUUCCCGCAGGAUCUUUACUGUGAAGAUGAUAUGGAUAUUGGUGUGUUAGAUGGAUGCCUUUGCUUGAUGUGUUACAGUGAGUCUAGCCAUGUGGAUGUUUGGAUUUUGAGGGAGUAUCAAGGAAAAUGGAGCAAGUUCAUUACUGUGCCGAAACCAGAGACUGUGGUUUCGUUUGAGUUUGUGAGACCUAUGAUCUACUCCAAGGACAGGAGCAAGAUUUUGCUGGAGUUAAACAAUGGGAAGCUCGUGUGGUUUGAUUUGGAGAGUAAGAGUUUUGAAGCGCUUGAAAUAAAGGGCUGUGAGGGUCCGUGUAAUGCUGAAAUCGUGGUGAGUAGCCUUGUUUUUGGGAUGUAAAGGUGAUCCUUGCAGAGCUCCAGAAAAGAAAAUGAUGCAGGAGAGUGACAAAAGGUUGUAUGCAUAUCUUUCUAAAGUGCUUUCUUACUUGUUUUGAUUCCCUGGUAUAUUUGACAAUAAGUCAAACCUGAGUCUUGUGUAUCUUCAUUCUUUGAGAUUUUGAGGAUUGCUAAUGGUAACUUGCUUAAACAUCUUAUGUUACAAUCUCAGGGGGGAUGAAUGUCUGUCCAAGGGAUUCAAGCCGAAUUUAUGAACAAAGCAGGGGAACUUUAUAAAGGUAAGCAAUCUAAUGGUCGUGAGUGUUUCCUGAGUUGGCAUUCUUCAUAAUAUAUGAAAAAUCUUAUUGUUUCAAGUGUUUUGGAGUUUGAACCGUGUAGGUGCAAAUCUUGAUCUUUUGGUUUGAUUUUCAGGUUCAGGGCGUUAGGGGGGAGACAAAAUUGCUUCAAUCAGCUCUAUCAAAUUCUAAUCCCAGUCUUAGUACUAAUUAGCUUUAACCUCUGUAGAAGGUGUAUUUCUUAAGUGAAGACAGUGUGCUUAGGUAACUUCUUUUGAGUAUGGCGUGUUGCAAUAUAACGCUGUAGUUGGUUGCAUAUAUAAAAUUUAAGCAUCUAGUAAAAUUAAAACCAGUCUGCAAAUAGUUACUGAAGAAUAUUUGAUUAAAUACACAAUUGAUAUGAUGAAAGUCGUCCAUAAACAAAAUACAGUAGAAACGAUCUACGGCGUUGUGCACAGGACAAUGUUUUGAAUGUUAUUAAUUGAUUGAUUACAAGAGAUAAUGAUCACUCACACUCUCCCAUCUCACCCUAAACCCUCACCACCACCAAAACCCCUCCACUCAAUAUAUAAGACAAAAUAAGUAAACCAAAAAGUUAUUAAACCAUAGUUACUUUGAUUAUACUAUACUUUCUUGCGCUUAUCCUCCCUUAACCAAUGCUUGUUCUUAUCAUCUCUUAACCAAUGCCCUUAUGUAUUAUUGGUAAGUUAUCAGCACAAUUCAUGCUAACAAUGUAACCGAGGAAGUCAACUAAUGCAUCAUCAUCGUCUCAGGGAUUAACUGGCUGUUCAAAAUGCUCAGUUUAUUCGACAGAUUUUGUUCCACUGUUCUUUUGAUUCUUCUUAGCGUUGACCUCGUUUUGUAUAUUUCCUCUGUUUUGAUAUGUAAGUAGUUUUACCAAAAAAAUAUUUGUUUCACAAUGUAAGAUAUUUACAUAGUCCAAAGCAUUAUUUACAUUUAUUACAUGUUAUGUGGCCAAUCAAAUAAUUUAUGCAUUUUUAUUAUUGGUUGAAUUUAUGUAUUAAAUACUAUUUUUUUCAAAAGUAAAAGUUUUCUUAAUAUUCACAUUUUUAGCUAAUACUACUUAUAAAUAAAAACAGAACAGAGGAAGUAUUAGAUUUUUUUUUUUUUUUUUUUUUUGUUCAAAGAGGAAGUAUUAGAUUAUGUUAAGAAACUUAUAAAGCUAAAUACAAUUUUUCUUGGGACGAGCCCACGAGGCCCAAAAAGAGAAAAAGUUACAAUUAAUUACACAAUUGUCCUUCUUCGAAACAAAUAUCUGAAUCCUGUGAAACCCUUGCGGUGCUCACUUACACUGAGACUGAGAGAGUAGCUUCCCAGAGAAAACAAUGGCGAAUCUUCCGAUGGAUAUCGUCAACGACGUCUUCCUCCGCCUCCCAGCUACUACGCUGGUCCGAUGUCGCGUCCUCUCGAAGCCUUGCUUCUCUCUCAUCGACAGUCCUGACUUCGUUGCCUCGCAUCUCAAACGCACGCUCGAAACCGAAGAGCACCUCAUGAUCCUACUCCGAUCCCCUCGUCUUCUACGUACGGUGUACCUCGACGCACCGGAUAAAAUCUCAGACGUUGAGCAUCCUCUGCAAACCGAUGGCUCCACAGAGGUUUUUGGUUCGGUUAACGGCUUAGUUGGUUUAACGAACUCUCCUGUUGACUUAGCUCUUU
This 5380-nucleotide long non-coding RNA is filed under the name Brassica rapa (field mustard). RNAcentral's name for it is "long non-coding RNA (BRAP_LNC001732)". The record is from RNAcentral. Lineage: Eukaryota; Viridiplantae; Streptophyta; Magnoliopsida; Brassicales; Brassicaceae.